This 85-nucleotide transfer RNA is filed under the name Felis catus (domestic cat). It matches the Rfam family "tRNA". Rfam says of the family: Transfer RNA (tRNA) molecules are approximately 80 nucleotides in length. Their secondary structure includes four short double-helical elements and three loops (D, anti-codon, and T loops). Lineage: Eukaryota; Metazoa; Chordata; Mammalia; Carnivora; Felidae. The record is from Rfam by way of RNAcentral.
GCCUGGGUGGCUCAAUCGGUUAAGCGUCUGACUUCAGCUCAGGUUGUGAUCUCGCGGUUCGUGAGUUCAAGCCCCGCAUCAGGCU